AAGCAUAUCAAUAAGCGGAGGAAAAGAAACCAACAGGGAUUGCCCUAGUAACGGCGAGUGAAGCGGCAACAGCUCAAAUUUGAAAUCUGGCUCUUUCAGAGUCCGAGUUGUAAUUUGCAGAGGGCGCUUUGGCGUUGGCAGCGGUCCAAGUUCUUUGGAACAGGACGUCACAGAGGGUGAGAAUCCCGUACGUGGUCGCUAGCCUUCGCCGUGUAAAGCCCCUUCGACGAGUCGAGUUGUUUGGGAAUGCAGCUCUAAAUGGGAGGUAAAUUUCUUCUAAAGCUAAAUACUGGCCAGAGACCGAUAGCGCACAAGUAGAGUGAUCGAAAGAUGAAAAGCACUUUGGAAAGAGAGUCAAAUAGCACGUGAAAUUGUUGAAAGGGAAGCGCUUGCAGCCAGACUUGCCUGUAGUUGCUUAUCCGGACUUUUGUCCGGUGCACUCUUCUGCGGGCAGGCCAGCAUCAGUUUGGGCGGUUGGAUAAAGGUCUCUGUCAUGUACCUCCUUUCGGGGAGGCCUUAUAGGGGAGACGACAUACAACCAGCCUGGACUGAGGUCCGCGCAUCUGCUAGGAUGCUGGCGUAAUGGCUGUAAGCGGCCCGUCUUGAAACACGGACCAAGGAGUCUAACAUCUAUGCGAGUGUUUGGGUGUCAAGCCCAGACGCGUAAUGAAAGUGAACGGAGGUGGGAACCUUUUAGGUGCACCAUCGACCGAUCCUGAUGUCUUCGGAAGGAUUUGAGUAAGAGCAUGGCUGUUGGGACCCGAAAGAUGGUGAACUAUGCUUGAAUAGGGUGAAGCCAGAGGAAACUCUGGUGGAGGCUCGCAGCGGUUCUGACGUGCAAAUCGAUCGUCAAAUUUGGGCAUAGGGGCGAAAGACUAAUCGAACUAUCUAGUAGCUGGUUCCUGCCGA
This 909-nucleotide ribosomal RNA is filed under the name Didymocyrtis foliaceiphila. RNAcentral's name for it is "LSU rRNA". It matches the Rfam family "Eukaryotic large subunit ribosomal RNA", at positions 36 to 964 of the family's 3401-position model. The record is from RNAcentral. Lineage: Eukaryota; Fungi; Ascomycota; Dothideomycetes; Pleosporales; Phaeosphaeriaceae.